This is a long non-coding RNA of Gavialis gangeticus (Gharial), 228 nucleotides long. RefSeq lists it as uncharacterized. The record is from RefSeq and is a predicted model, not a curated record. NCBI's taxonomy places the organism in Eukaryota, Metazoa, Chordata, Crocodylia, Gavialidae. The transcript has 3 exons.
GUUAGGGUUUUGUCCACUGUGAGGUGUCCAAUCUGAUUUUUUUGGGGGGGUUUUGGCAUUGAUCUUUUCCUGAAUGUUGUCAGAGAAUGAGUUGUUGUUGGGAGUGGGUUCAGUUUGGUCGUGGAAAUAUUGCUUGAGGCGGAGGCAUCAGAAGAAUUCUCCUAGUUCUCCACACUGAAGUAUUUUAUUAGGGUAUUUUUCUGGACAGAAAUUAGACCAACACAGAUA